UGGGGGCAACCCUGAUCCAGCCAUGCCGCGUGAGUGAUGAAGGCCUUAGGGUUGUAAAGCUCUUUCAGCGAGGAGGAUAAUGACAUACUCGCAGAGAGCCCCGGGC
RNAcentral lists this ribosomal RNA (106 nucleotides) under uncultured bacterium. Its description in RNAcentral is "partial 16S ribosomal RNA". It matches the Rfam family "Bacterial small subunit ribosomal RNA", at positions 372 to 497 of the family's 1533-position model. The record is from RNAcentral.